Non-coding RNA from Ceratotherium simum simum (southern white rhinoceros), 492 nucleotides. Lineage: Eukaryota; Metazoa; Chordata; Mammalia; Perissodactyla; Rhinocerotidae. The record is from RefSeq and is a predicted model, not a curated record.
GGAAAUCCCUGCCUCUCUGAGACCUGGUUUGCAGCAGCAACUGUCAAGCUCUGCAGGAAGAGGGCAUCCCCUUCACUCUGUCUUCUAAAGGUGUUCUUUGGUGCAAGCUAAUUUGCAUUCAGAACUCUAGCUGCAAGGAGGUCUGGGAAAUGCUUUCCAACUCUUGCAUUGGACCGAAGGAGAGGUCAAAUGGGCCAUUCCAGAGAGUUCGACUCACAGGGUAAUGCCAGUGGGUGCUGGAUGGCUUAAGUCAUUUGUGCAAUAUUGACUCUUCAGGAAAAGUUUGACUCGGAAACAUGUUACACGUUGGGUGGCCAGUUUUUAAAGUAGACAGGAGUGUCCCUGCUAAGCUGAGCUGAGAGGCUGGGCUUUAAUUGCAAGCGGCAAAAAGAAAGAAUGACUGCUUCUAUUUUGCUGAUGUGAUUCUUUUCCUGCUGUGGGCAAGAGAUGGCUGAUUGUUACAGAAAUGAGAGACGAGAUAGUUUUGCAGGG